CAGCCGCCGCGGUAAUACGAAGGGGGCUAGCGUUGCUCGGAAUGACUGGGCGUAAAGGGCGCGUAGGCGGCGAUCAAAGUCAGGCGUGAAAUUCCUGGGCUCAACCUGGGGGCUGCGCUUGAUACUUGGUUGCUUGAGUGGGGAAGAGGGUCGUGGAAUUCCCAGUGUAGAGGUGAAAUUCGUAGAUAUUGGGAAGAACACCGGUGGCGAAGGCGGCGACCUGGUCCUUGACUGACGCUGAGGCGCGAAAGCGUGGGGAGCAAACAGGAUUAGAGACCCCGGUAGUCCCUGUCUCUUAUAC
This 301-nucleotide ribosomal RNA is filed under the name uncultured bacterium. RNAcentral's name for it is "partial 16S ribosomal RNA". It matches the Rfam family "Bacterial small subunit ribosomal RNA", at positions 509 to 807 of the family's 1533-position model. The record is from RNAcentral.